CGGAUUUCGACGAGGGAAUGGGUUGAUAAAGCCUUCCCCCUCGUCUUCUACCGCUUCGGUGGCGUCCCGUUGGCAGCUCCUACGGAGAUCGCUCCGAAGAACUACGCGGCGGUUGUGGCUGGUCGUCCUAAACCGACCGACGAGUCUGCAAUAUAUUUGAUUUUGAGGCAAUUUUUUAUUGCGGAAAAAUCUCGAUAUUGCUUG
RNAcentral lists this unclassified non-coding RNA (204 nucleotides) under Hevea brasiliensis (rubber tree). Lineage: Eukaryota; Viridiplantae; Streptophyta; Magnoliopsida; Malpighiales; Euphorbiaceae. The record is from RNAcentral.